CAGGGUGGUACUGAGGCAGAGGAGGAGUUCCUCAGUGACAGCCCAGAACCCCAAGGCAAGGCUUUGCCCUCACCCUCAAGCAUUGAAGGCAUGCUUCUUGGGUGAACGCUGUAUCGAAAGGUGCACCUUAUACUUUGAUCUGAACACCAUCAGGUUUGGACCCAGGCUGAUUGCUCCCAGUAAGGUGUUCCAUAAACAGGAUCCUGCUGAUGAGAAUGUCUUGCCUCUAGUUCAUGGAAGAUAAUUCCACCAGUUCUAACUGGAAGAGCCAGCUUGCAGUAUGACCUAUAUUUUUGAUUUUCAUAGUAGAGCUGUGUGAACCCUUCCACUUUUGUUUUGAAAUGGCCUGGCAAAUUUCUCACAUUGAAACUCUCUUGCAUGGUUUUGCCCUUGAAGUUCAACAGUAUUUGGACUUGAUCUAGCCUUAUUUGCCUGUGGUUAAAUCUUUUUGCAAAGUUCACCUCUCAUGGAUCCAUGCAAACCCACAAAGGACAGCCUGAAGUUUGCUGGUUCACUGGAAGUGGGAUUAGGCCCAUAUUGGAAAAUACCAUAUUGCAUGCUCUCACAUGAGCACAGAUCUAACACAAAUUCACCCAUGAAGAGCAGCUUCAAAAAAUGUUCACAGAAAUCCAAAACAAACAACAUUUUCUAUCCAACUUUCACUAAAAAUGUAUGAAUAAUUAAAUUUGUGACAAUCACUGCUGGUUCUGAACACAGACUGAAAUCAAACCAAAGCUGAUUUUGAGUGUACUUUAAGUGUGAGUCAAAUAUUCCACUCAUCUCUAGUUUAAAAUAGAAAAUGUUCUGAAGAUCACAACUCUCAACCUCGUAGCCUAGAAGAAUAACAUCUGGAACAUAUUGGAGUUUGCUGUUGUU
This is a long non-coding RNA of Mauremys reevesii (Reeves's turtle), 876 nucleotides long. RefSeq lists it as uncharacterized. Lineage: Eukaryota; Metazoa; Chordata; Testudines; Geoemydidae. The transcript is spliced from 4 exons. The record is from RefSeq and is a predicted model, not a curated record.